UUUUGAUACUUAAGUAUAUUUUAAACGAAAUACUUUUAGAGUUUUACUAAAGUAGAAUUUUACUGGGUGACUUUCACUUCUACUUGAGUCAUUUUCUAUUAAGGUUUCUUUUCAAGCAUGACAAUUGGGUACUUUUCCACCACUGGGCCAUUAGUUGACUAGGUUAAACAUGUCACAUUAGUCUGUAAAUUGCUUUUUGGACUGCAAUACUCAUUGGCAAGUCUUCUAAAUAAGCAUGAUGGCUUUUAAUUUUGACAACUUUCUCAUGUUAUUGUUCAAUAGUUAUACUAUAGUUUUGUUUUAAGGCUAUCCAUUAGGAAUCAAUGAGCUAGGCUAUUAUACACACAAAUUAUUUAGGGUUAGGAUUAGGAAUCAAUGAGCUAGGCUAUUAUACACACAAAUCAUUUAGGAUUAGGGUUAGGAAAUAAUGAGCUAGGCUAUUAUACACACAAAUUAUUUAGGGUUAGGAUUAGGAAUUAAUGACUAGGCUAUUAUACACACAAAUCAUUUAGGAUUAGGAUUAGGUUUAGGAAUUAAUGAGCUAGGCUAUUAUACACACAAAUUAUUUAGGGUUAGGAUUAGGAUUAGGGUUAGGAAUUAAUGAGCUAGGCUAUUAUACACACAAAUUAUUUAGGGUUAGGAUUAGGGUUAGGAUUAGGAAUUAAUGAGAUAGGCUAUUAUACACACAAAUAAUUCAUUUGGUGCAGGCAACUGUGUUGUAGUAGGCUAUUGACACAGCUCAGACUAUCAUGUAUGAUGGAAUAUUCAGAAAAAGGGCUAUCUAAUUUUUAAAAUGAGAAAUACAUGUAAGUCCAUCAAAGUCUGAGCUAUGUUAAUAAAUAGCGUACAACACAUUUGAUGGUUGGUAAAACCAAAGUUCCAGAAGGACAUAAACCUGGCCCAUGUAAUGUGUAUCUCAGUGGUAUAACACAGACUGUUUAUAGCCCCUAGCACAGGGCAUGGGCAUCAUCGACUGUAGGAGUAGCAUAGCGUCAUUACUGUAUGGCAUCCUGUUGUUGUUUACGGUCACAAUGACUGUAAUAAUGUCUGUAAUACUUUACAGUGACGUGUCUGACUAAUACACUGUUUUAGUCACUUCAUGUAGGCGAGGAAGUGUGGCCAAAAGGGUCAGCCAGUGAAAAUAGAAAGUCUCCUCUUCCUCUCCCCUGGCCGUAUCAGAGCGCUGUAACCUUUAUUGUGUGGUAGGGUCAGCUUGGACACUUAAUAACAAUCCACUCCAGGGUGAAGCAGCACCACGCCCUCUCUCGCCAAGUUCCCAUAAACAGACCUGAUUAACAUAAUACAAAAAUCCCCGUCAUAAUCGUUCAGUUUAAGCUAGAGAUAUCUAGCGAAAAUCGGUCUUCUCACAAAAACAUCUGUCGUGUCUGAACGGUACCGUCGAUGUGCCAACUUCCGUUAGUAGCGUCCGGGCUACAAACUUAAACUGACCCCACUGUAGAAAGGGGAGAUUCACAAGAACACGAUGGUGUUCUCUGUUGUGCUCUACAACCCCCACAAUAACCACGGGACCCGUCUGAGGGUAACCGGUACCCGGUAAAAACGUGGAAGUAUGGAGGUAGUUUUGUGCCUCCCCAAAUAAAGGAGUUAAAUAUGUG
This 1616-nucleotide long non-coding RNA is filed under the name Salmo salar (Atlantic salmon). Its description in RNAcentral is "lncRNA (ENSSSAG00000099073.1)". The record is from RNAcentral. Lineage: Eukaryota; Metazoa; Chordata; Actinopteri; Salmoniformes; Salmonidae.